This 91-nucleotide transfer RNA is filed under the name Clostridium vincentii. RNAcentral's name for it is "tRNA-Ser". It matches the Rfam family "tRNA". From Rfam's summary of the family: Transfer RNA (tRNA) molecules are approximately 80 nucleotides in length. Their secondary structure includes four short double-helical elements and three loops (D, anti-codon, and T loops). Further hydrogen bonds mediate the characteristic L-shaped molecular structure. tRNAs have two regions of fundamental functional importance: the anti-codon, which is responsible for specific mRNA codon recognition, and the 3' end, to which the tRNAs corresponding amino acid is attached (by aminoacyl-tRNA synthetases). tRNAs cope with the degeneracy of the genetic code in two manners: having more than one tRNA (with a specific anti-codon) for a particular amino acid; and 'wobble' base-pairing, i.e. permitting non-standard base-pairing at the 3rd anti-codon position. Lineage: Bacteria; Bacillati; Bacillota; Clostridia; Eubacteriales; Clostridiaceae. The record is from RNAcentral.
GGAGAGAUGGUCGAGUUGGUUUAAGGCACCGGUCUUGAAAACCGGCGUACCUUUACGGGUACCUAGGGUUCAAAUCCCUAUCUCUCCACCA